GGACCCGCACAAGCGGUGGAGCAUGUGGUUUAAUUCGAUGCAACGCGAAAAACCUUACCUACUCUUGACAUACUUGGAAGCUCUUGUAAUGAGAGUGUGCCUUUUGGAGCCAAGAUACAGGUGCUGCAUGGCUGUCGUCAGCUCGUGUCGUGAGAUGUUCCGUUAAGUCGGAUAACGAGCGCAACCCUUACCCUUAUUUGCCAGCGAUUCGGUCGGGAACUAUAAGGGGACUGCCGGUGCAUAAGCCGGAGGAAGGUGGGGAUGACGUCAAGUCCUCAUGGCCCUUAUGUCCAGGGCUACACACGUGCUACAAUGGGAGGUACAAAGGGUUGCCAACUCGCGAGAGUGAGCUAAUCCCAAAAACCUUCCUCAGUACGGAUUGGAGUCUGCAACUCGACUCCAUGAAGGUGGAAUC
This 415-nucleotide ribosomal RNA is filed under the name uncultured bacterium. Its description in RNAcentral is "bacterial SSU rRNA". It matches the Rfam family "Bacterial small subunit ribosomal RNA", at positions 917 to 1333 of the family's 1533-position model. The record is from RNAcentral.